GCAAAAACAGAGGUUCCCAUACGAUCACCAAAGUUAAGAAACAUCGAGCCUGGUCAGUACGUAGAUGAGUGACGCCUUGGCAUACCAGGUGCUGUAA
This is a non-coding RNA of Acanthosepion pharaonis, 97 nucleotides long. The record is from the annotation of a GenBank genome assembly. Lineage: Eukaryota; Metazoa; Mollusca; Cephalopoda; Sepiida; Sepiidae.